This is a long non-coding RNA of Onychostoma macrolepis, 1825 nucleotides long. RefSeq lists it as uncharacterized. The transcript has 3 exons. Lineage: Eukaryota; Metazoa; Chordata; Actinopteri; Cypriniformes; Cyprinidae. The record is from RefSeq and is a predicted model, not a curated record.
GGACUUCACCUUGUCCAUCCAACAAAUAUGUUUACUGUUAACUGCUCUCACAGCAGCAAAACAAUUGCUUGUCAACCGUUGGAAUCCUCCUCACACAAUGGACUGACGAACAUGGACGGUGUAUUUGUUGGACAUUAUCUCGAUGGAACUCGCAUAUGUCAUUGAUUCAGGACAAACUGAAGGUUUAAGGUCUGCAGCUCACUGUGUGUCACUCUCAUAUAAAUGAGGUAUAAAUAACUUUGUGUGUUUAUAUUGUAACCAGAACCGUUUCUGAUCAAAAGGGUUCCUCAGCAAAGUCUUACUUCCAUCAUCACUGAACAGAAUUCAGGAGACAAGAUCAUCAGUGAUGCCUUCAUAGAUACAGUUGUCUUGUGUUACCUUAGUUACUUUAAAUAGAUAGCAAACAUGUCUGAAAACAUGUGCCUUUGAAAAACUGUGCAGAUAACAAUGCAGAUAAAAUUAAUCUUUAUUACUUGCACACCUGUAUAGAUAAAUGGAUCAUUACCCCAAACACUGAGAUGUCUUCAGCUGCUCACACAUUUCAGUUACUACACAUCAACAUUUGCAUGUCUUAUUGAAGUCACAUUAUGUUUGAACUGAACUGAUAUUAUUGAUCCACAGAAGCUGCUGUCACAGCAUCAGAAACUGUAGUCUGUAUGACUGCUGGAUCAUUAAUCAGAGUGAUUGUGAUUAUUGUUGAGAUCGCAGUGUUUGCUGCUCCUACUGUGAUUCUUCUUCAGAUCAUCUGUGUGAGAAGAGCUGGAAGGAAAAACUCUCACCACCAAAAUGAAGUAGAGAUGUCUACAAUAUUACAAUGAACUACCUUCUAUAAAUCUAUUAUAAAGAUUACAGCAAGAUGCAUUUCAGUGUUUAUGGAUAUCAUAUUUGCAUACAGCUUUGAAUGUAAUUUUCCAGUACUCCAUAUUGUACAGACUGCUUUAAAUAUGAUAUUAAAUACAGUCAUCAAUAAAGCGACACAGGUACUGUUACGUGUGGUGGUGCUCAAGGAGGGCAAGGAGACGAAGGCGUGAAAAUCAAAAACUCUUUUACUGACGAUACGUAGUUCGGAAUAGAAGAACAUAAAUUAACAUCACAUCACAAUAACAUUAUUAAGACUAGACAAGGGAGAAAACCAAACUGAAUGCUUAUAAAGGGAACCGGAACAAAAGAGCAAUCAACAUAAUCAAACUCAGGUGGGGACAAUCAAACGAUAAUAAACCAACGAGGGCAGGAACUAAACCAAAACAAGGAAAACGAGGACCAGGACAGACUGACAUGUAACAGUAUCUCCCCUUCCCGGUAGGCGCGUCCCGCGCCGUAACAGUUCCAACCGGGAGGGGGGGUGGGCGUCCUGGAUGCCGGAGCAGGACGGAUACCAGGAUACAGAGGAGGCAUCCAGGGCGGAUCAGGAGGUUCCGGCGGCCAUGGCGGGUCAGGGGACUCCGGUUCCGAUACCUCGGCCCCUGCCCCCGCCCCCGCCUCGGUCUCUACGGCCGGAGCCCUACUACCCCCCCCCAAAAUUUUCUUGGGGAAGUUCACGGUGUUGCAGGGCAGACAAUCAGGGGUAGCGGACUCUUGCAGCAUGGAUUCAAGGGGGCGCUCGGACAGCGCGGAUCCUGGGCGGUGCUCUUGCAGCGCGGAUUCUGGGCGGCGCUCUUGCAGCUCAGAGACAGGGAGGCGUCUUCUUGGCGCAGGCACUGGGUGGCGCUCUUGCAGCGCGGGCUCUGGUUUGCGCUCUUGCAGCGCGGAUUCUAGGGGGCGCUUUUGGUGCGCGGAGACAGGGAUGCGAAGGUGAGCUGGACUGGACCAGUGGAGGCGAAGGUGA